This 68-nucleotide transfer RNA is filed under the name Ictidomys tridecemlineatus (thirteen-lined ground squirrel). RNAcentral's name for it is "Spermophilus tridecemlineatus (thirteen-lined ground squirrel) tRNA". It matches the Rfam family "tRNA". Rfam says of the family: Transfer RNA (tRNA) molecules are approximately 80 nucleotides in length. Their secondary structure includes four short double-helical elements and three loops (D, anti-codon, and T loops). Further hydrogen bonds mediate the characteristic L-shaped molecular structure. tRNAs have two regions of fundamental functional importance: the anti-codon, which is responsible for specific mRNA codon recognition, and the 3' end, to which the tRNAs corresponding amino acid is attached (by aminoacyl-tRNA synthetases). tRNAs cope with the degeneracy of the genetic code in two manners: having more than one tRNA (with a specific anti-codon) for a particular amino acid; and 'wobble' base-pairing, i.e. permitting non-standard base-pairing at the 3rd anti-codon position. The record is from Rfam by way of RNAcentral. Lineage: Eukaryota; Metazoa; Chordata; Mammalia; Rodentia; Sciuridae.
GGAGUUGUAGCUGAGUGGUAGAGUGCUUGCCUCGCAUGCGUGAGGCCCUGGGUUCAGUCCCAGCACCA